AGACUUCAUUUGUUGAAUCAUCAAGAACCUGAAAUAUGAACCUCUCAGCUGGCCAUGAAAGCCCACAUACUGCUCCAAUGGAAAGCUUGUAUACCUGGAAGCAGAAAGUGAGUUGUUUUGGCCGAGCACUUUGACAAUCAAAAUAUGCCUACUCUUUCAAUAAAUAGCAUGAUUGACAUAAUUGAGCACAAUAUGACUCCUAGUUUCAACAGUGGAAUUAUCACUGGGAUUCGUAUUGAUUGCCACACAUAGUGCACUACUUGGAGCAUAUUCUGGAAGCUCACCAUCUGGCUCGUCAAAGAAUAGGUUUCUCAUUGUUUAGGGGUCGUACUUGGGAGUUGGAAAUGAUUAUUGAGCCUAAAGAGAAGGAUGCUUCGGGGCUCGAGGCAAUUGUAGAUGGGUAAGUGACUUGUUGAAGGCAGAUGAUCAAGUGGGUUUGAUUUGUGUUAGAGCUUACACCAUUUAAAUAGGAAGAAAAUGCAGGGGGCCAACAUCAGGACAAGCAUUUGGUUUAAGUGGAAGAAUGUAGUAUAUUGAGUGAACUCUUAAGAGGAGUUCUCUUCCUUUUAUGAGACACAUUCGUCAAGAAACCAACAAGGUUGUGACAUAGCUAAUUGAUAGCUGGACUUGUCUUUCACUGCCAACAUGAUGAUUUUUAGUGUGCAUAAUCUUCAUCAGAGUAUUAACUGUGUGUGUUCUAUUUAAUUUACGGACUGUGUUAUAUUGUGGGCAAGUAUUAGAUAAAUGCCAACAGAAUCAUCCAGUCGUUUUUAGUGACUAUAUUUAUGCUUAGAUACUGCCUAACAGUGUUCUCACAUGUUCCUCUCUGUUUUUAUCCGUGUUUUAUGUUCCUCUUGUGAUCAGGAGUAUAAUUAGUCACAUAAAACUUAGUUAAUUUGAUUCUUUGCAGAUUUGUCUCAAACAGAUUAACCACAAGCAAAAUUUAACAGACUUCCAUGCGUUAAUCUCCUGGCGCUCUAAAUGAUCCUGCUCAAAUUUACUUUAUUGGUCCAACCCCGACCAAUUGGGUAGUGCUUGAUCAUUGGUGCGUAGUUCCACUAUGUAAUGUGAAUCUAUAGAAGUAUUCUUAAGUUUGAAAUUUCCCAAGUUCAUGAAGUAGUACCAAUGUCUGAAAAGCUACAAACUGAUUCCUGCAUUUCCCGAGAUUUUGAAGUAGUACCUCAUAUUGAUGCAUUUAUGCAUUACUGCUAUUUAUCUUCAUUUUUUCCACCAAGGGAUAUAUAUAUAUAUUUUAUCUCCUAUA
Arachis ipaensis is the source of this 1264-nucleotide non-coding RNA. Lineage: Eukaryota; Viridiplantae; Streptophyta; Magnoliopsida; Fabales; Fabaceae. The record is from RefSeq and is a predicted model, not a curated record.